Molecule: ribosomal RNA, 620 nt
Filed under: uncultured bacterium
Lineage: Bacteria
Description: bacterial SSU rRNA
Rfam family: Bacterial small subunit ribosomal RNA
Source: RNAcentral
CCUACGGGAGGCAGCAGUGGGGAAUUUUGGACAAUGGGGGCAACCCUGAUCCAGCCAUUCCGCGUGAGUGAAGAAGGCCUUCGGGUUGUAAAGCUCUUUCGCAAGGGAAGAAAACUUAUGAUCGAAUAAAUCAUGAGGUUGACGGUACCUUGAUAAGAAGCACCGGCUAACUACGUGCCAGCAGCCGCGGUAAUACGUAGGGUGCGAGCGUUAAUCGGAAUUACUGGGCGUAAAGCGUGCGCAGGCGGUUUUGUAAGUCGGAUGUGAAAUCCCCGGGCUCAACCUGGGAACUGCGUUCGAAACUGCAAGGCUAGAGUGUGUCAGAGGGGGGUAGAAUUCCACGUGUAGCAGUGAAAUGCGUAGAGAUGUGGAGGAAUACCAAUGGCGAAGGCAGCCCCCUGGGAUAACACUGACGCUCAUGCACGAAAGCGUGGGGAGCAAACAGGAUUAGAUACCCUGGUAGUCCACGCCCUAAACGAUGUCAACUAGUUGUUGGUAGAGUAAAAUCUAUAAGUAACGUAGCUAACGCGUGAAGUUGACCGCCUGGGGAGUACGGUCGCAAGAAUUAAAACUCAAAGGAAUUGACGGCUGAGAGNGCGAGACGACGACGAGGGAGGAGG